This 447-nucleotide ribosomal RNA is filed under the name uncultured bacterium. RNAcentral describes it as "bacterial SSU rRNA". It matches the Rfam family "Bacterial small subunit ribosomal RNA", at positions 355 to 825 of the family's 1533-position model. The record is from RNAcentral.
UGGGGAAUAUUGGACAAUGGGGGCAACCCUGAUCCAGCCAUGCCGCGUGAGUGAUGAAGGCCUUCGGGUUGUAAAGCUCUUUUGGCGGGGACGAUGAUGACGGUACCCGCAGAAUAAGCCCCGGCUAACUUCGUGCCAGCAGCCGCGGUAAGACGAAGGGGGCUAGCGUUGUUCGGAAUCACUGGGCGUAAAGCGCACGUAGGUGGAUUGUUUAGUCAGGGGUGAAAUCCCGGAGCUCAACUUCGGAACUGCCUUUGAUACUGCUUUGCUAGAGUGCAGAAGGGGCAAUCGGAAUUCUUGGUGUAGCGGUGAAAUGCGUAGAUAUCAAGAGGAACACCUGAGGUGAAGACGGGUUGCUGGGCUGACACUGACGCUGAGGCGCGAAAGCCAGGGGAGCAAACGGGAUUAGAUACCCCGGUAGUCCCUGAGCGGGCUGGCAAGGCGCAU